CUCGGAGCGGGCGGCACCAUGAGCGGCCGGAAGCGCAGCUUCACCUUCGGGGCCUACGGGGGGGUGGACAAGUCCUUCGCCCCUCGCCGGAGUGCAUGGAGGAGUGAUGGGCAGAACCAGCGCUUCCCUCAGGCACUAGACCCGCCAAGAGUGGACUCAGUCCCCUCCCAGACUGCUUCAUUCCACCCAAAGAACACAGAUCUGUUUGAGAUGAUUGAAAAGAUGCAGGGAAGCAGGAUGGAUGAACAGCGAUGCUCCUUCCCACCACCCCUCAAAACGGAGGAGGACUACAUUCCAUACCCGAGCGUCCACGAGGUCCUGGGCCGAGAAGGGCCCUUCCCCCUGAUCCUGCUGCCCCAGUUCGGGGGCUACUGGAUUGAAGGCACCAAUCACGAAGUCACCAGCGUCCCAGAGACGGAGCCGCUGCAGUCGCCCACGACCAGGGUGAAGCUGGAGUGCAACCACACCGCCCGCCUCUACCGGAAGCACUUUCUCGGCAAGGAGCACUUUAACUACUACUCGCUGGACACCGCCCUGGGCCACCUUGUCUUCUCACUCAAGUACGACGUCAUCGGGGACCAGGAACAUCUGCGGCUGCUGCUCAGGACCAAGUGCCGGACAUACCAUGACGUCAUCCCCAUCUCCUGUCUCACUGAGUUCCCCAACGUGGUCCAGAUGGCAAAGUUGGUGUGUGAAGACGUGAAUGUGGAUCGAUUCUACCCUGUGCUCUACCCCAAGGCCUCCCGCCUCAUCGUCACCUUCGAUGAGCAUGUCAUCAGCAAUAACUUCAAGUUCGGAGUCAUUUACCAGAAGCUCGGGCAGACCUCCGAGGAAGAGCUCUUCAGCACCAAUGAGGAGAGCCCCGCCUUCGUGGAGUUCCUCGAGUUUCUGGGCCAGAAGGUCAAACUGCAGGACUUCAAGGGGUUCCGAGGAGGCCUGGACGUGACCCACGGGCAGACGGGGACCGAGUCUGUGUACUGCAACUUCCGCAACAAGGAGAUCAUGUUUCACGUGUCCACCAAGCUGCCCUACACAGAAGGGGACGCCCAGCAGUUGCAGCGGAAGCGACACAUUGGCAACGACAUUGUGGCUGUGGUCUUCCAAGAUGAGAACACGCCUUUUGUGCCGGACAUGAUUGCGUCCAACUUCCUGCACGCCUACGUGGUGGUGCAGGCCGAGGGCGCGGGCCCUGACGGGCCCCUCUACAAGGUGUCCGUCACGGCGAGAGAUGACGUCCCCUUCUUUGGACCACCCCUCCCGGACCCCGCUGUGUUUCGGAAGGGGCCUGAGUUCCAGGAAUUUCUGCUGACAAAGCUGAUCAAUGCCGAAUAUGCUUGCUACAAGGCCGAGAAGUUUGCCAAACUGGAGGAGCGGACACGGGCCGCCCUCCUGGAGACGCUCUAUGAGGAGCUUCACAUCCAUAGCCAGUCCAUGAUGGGCCUAGGGGGCGAUGAGGACAAGAUGGAGAACGGCGGCGGGGGCGGCGGCUUCUUCGAGUCCUUCAAGCGGGUCAUCCGGAGCCGCAGCCAGUCCAUGGACGCCAUGGGCCUGAGCAACAAGAAGCCCCACACCGUGUCCACGAGCCACAGCGGGAGUUUCACGCCCAGCAACCCCGACCUAGCCAAGGCGGCUGGAAUAUCAUUGCUUAUUCCCGGGAAAAGUGGCGGUAGAUUCGGACGCCGAGGCAGUGCCAUAGGCAUAGGAACCGUGGAAGAGUCGCUGAUCGUCCCCGGCAAGAGCCCCACGAGGAAGAAGUCGGGUCCGUUCGGCUCGCGACGGAGCAGCGCCAUCGGCAUCGAGAAUAUCCAGGAGGUGCAGGAGAAGAGGGAGAGCCCCCCGGCCGGCCAGAAGACCCCAGACAGCGGGCACGUCUCCCAGGAGCCCAAGUCGGAGAACUCAUCCACUCAGAGCUCCCCAGAGAUGCCCACGACCAAAAACAGAGCGGAGACAGCGGCCCAGAGAGCAGAAGUGCUAAAGGGCUUCUCCCGCUCCUCGUCCAGUGCCAGCAGCUUCGCCAGCGUCGUGGAGGAGGCAGAAGGCCUGGACGCGGACGACACGGGCCUGGAGAGCGUUUCCUCCUCCGGGACGCCCCACAAGCGGGACUCCUUCAUCUACAGCACGUGGCUGGAGGACAGCAUCAGUACCACGAGCGGAGGCAGCUCCCCAGUGAGGUGGCUCCCUCCUGCCUCCCUCCCCAGGCCCCUCUCGGUCACCCCACCCCGACGCCGGCAAGUUGGGGGACCCUGCGUGUCCCGAGAUCAAGAUCCAGCUGGAAGCAUCUGAACAGCACACGCCCCAGCUGGGCUGUUAGCCACUCUGCCGCUCUGAAGGUGGCCCCGAGCAGAUGAGGCCGCAGAGGCACAAGGCAGAUGCUCUGGCAGAUCCAGGUGGACGGGACCUCCACCCCUGAGGCCAGCACCAGCCUGGGGCCCACCCCUCGCCUCCCCAGCCCUCCUCCUGGCCCAUGUCCGGGCUGUCUCUGCAGAGUGGAGCCGUCCAGCCCUGGGAGCGGGGAAGCUGCUGGCACCGUCCCCACCCCCUGGGCUGGGAGGCUGGCUGGGGCGGGGAGAGGUCAGCUGGAACGGGACUCCAGGCCUGGCUCAUCCAUCACCCUUGGGUGCCGCUCUGGAUUCGAGGGAGUGAGCUGGAAAGGAGAACUAGACAUCUCGGUGCACGCAGAGCCUGCCAUGGAGGCGGUGGGGAGGAGGAGCACUGGGCUGGGAGUCCUGAGUCCUAGCCUGUGAUUUGGGAUCCGCUGUGCAGCUCUAGGCCCAUCACACUCCCUCUCUGGGUGCCUCGGCUCUAAAUGGACGAGAUCAUUUCAGAGGUCACUGAAGACUCCGCGCAGCUGCCCCCGAAUGGAGGAUUGCCCUCCCGGGGGCCUCCCGUCACCCUCUCCUGCUUCUUGGGGUUCCUGGGGCCCCAGGUCGGCUGAGGGGCAGGGGGCUGGCUGUGCCCAUGGCACCUCCUAGACCCUCAGGCCGUGUGCCGCAGACCUGCGGAGGCCCUGCCCACCGCCUCUACGUGACAGACAGUGACCCCAUUGCGGGCGUGGGGGGCCCGCGUGGCUCUUCCGCCAGCCCCCGGCUCGGCCCCCUGGCACCUCCUGCUCCUGGCACUCCAGGCCGAGGGGUCUCAGCUGGCUCACCUUUGCACCACCCCCACCCCGCACAGAGCGGGCAGUCAGGCACAGCUGCUGUGAGUCCACAUCCUUGUGUGUGUCCACACUUUUUAGGCACCACGCCAAAGGGCAGCCUUCCGGCCCCAACACCCGUUUCGGAAGCCCCUGUGGCCAUGUGUGUGUGUCGGUGACAGUUGUACAAAAUAAAUUCUAUUUAUCGCUAUUGUACCCCGA
Molecule: RNA transcript, 3355 nt
Organism: Odocoileus virginianus texanus
Lineage: Eukaryota; Metazoa; Chordata; Mammalia; Artiodactyla; Cervidae
Gene: RAP1GAP
Gene name: RAP1 GTPase activating protein
Source: RefSeq, a predicted model, not a curated record